Molecule: ribosomal RNA, 501 nt
Filed under: uncultured Glomus
Lineage: Eukaryota; Fungi; Glomeromycota; Glomeromycetes; Glomerales; Glomeraceae
Description: SSU rRNA
Rfam family: Eukaryotic small subunit ribosomal RNA
Source: RNAcentral
AGCAGCCGCGGUAAUUCCAGCUCCAAUAGCGUAUAUUAAAGUUGUUGCAGUUAAAAAGCUCGUAGUUGAAUUUCGGGGUUAGUAGGUUGGUCAUGCCUCUGGUAUGCACUGGCCUCACUGAUUCCUCCUUCCUGAUGAGCCGUAAUGCCAUUAAUUUGGUGUUGCGGGGAAUUUGGACUGUUACUUUGAAAAAUUAGAGUGUUUAAAGCAAGCUAACGCUUGAAUACAUUAGCAUGGAAUAAUGAAAUAGGACGUUCGAUCCUAUUUUGUUGGUUUCUAGGAUUGACGUAAUGAUUAAUAGGGAUAGUUGGGGGCAUUAGUAUUCAAUUGUCAGAGGUGAAAUUCUUGGAUUUAUUGAAGACUAACUACUGCGAAAGCAUUUGCCAAGGAUGUUUUCAUUAAUCAAGAACGAAAGUUAGGGGAUCGAAGACGAUCAGAUACCGUCGUAGUCUUAACCAUAAACUAUGCCGACUAGGGAUCGGAUGAUGUUAAUUUUUAAUG